RNAcentral lists this ribosomal RNA (471 nucleotides) under uncultured Mollicutes bacterium. RNAcentral's name for it is "bacterial SSU rRNA". It matches the Rfam family "Bacterial small subunit ribosomal RNA", at positions 916 to 1381 of the family's 1533-position model. The record is from RNAcentral. Lineage: Bacteria; Bacillati; Mycoplasmatota; Mollicutes.
GACGGGGCCCGCACAAGCGGUGGAGCAUGUGGGUUUUAAUUUCGAUGUCAAACGCGAAGAACCUUACCAGGUCUUGACAUACCAUUGACAGGCGCAGAGAUGUGCUCUCCUUCGGGCAAUGGAUACAGGUGGUGCAUGGUUGUCGUCAGCUCGUGCCGUGAGGUGUUGGGUUAAGUCCCGCAACGAGCGCAACCCUCAUUGUUAGUUACUACCAUUCAGUUGAGGACUCUAAUGAGACUGCCAACGAUAAGUUGGAGGAAGGUGGGGAUGACGUCAAAUCAUCAUGCCCUUUAUGACCUGGGCUACAAACGUACUACAAUGGCCAAUACAAAGAGAUGCGAAGCGGUGACGUGGAGCGAACCUCAGAAAGUUGGUCUCAGUUCAGAUUGAAGUCUGCAACUCGACUUCAUGAAGGCGGAAUCGCUAGUAAUCGCGGGUCAGCAGACCGCGGUGAAUACGUUCCCGGGUUUU